UACGUAGGGUGCGAGCGUUAAUCGGAAUUACUGGGCGUAAAGCGUGCGCAGGCGGCUAGAUAAGACAGAUGUGAAAUCCCCGGGCUUAACCUGGGAACUGCGUUUGUGACUGUCUAGCUCGAGUACGGCAGAGGGGGGUGGAAUUCCUGGUGUAGCAGUGAAAUGCGUAGAUAUCAGGAGGAACACCGAUGGCGAAGGCAGCCCCCUGGGCCUGUACUGACGCUCAUGCACGAAAGCGUGGGGAGCAAACAGG
This 253-nucleotide ribosomal RNA is filed under the name uncultured bacterium. RNAcentral describes it as "partial 16S ribosomal RNA". It matches the Rfam family "Bacterial small subunit ribosomal RNA", at positions 524 to 776 of the family's 1533-position model. The record is from RNAcentral.